Musa acuminata subsp. malaccensis (wild Malaysian banana) is the source of this 862-nucleotide long non-coding RNA. RefSeq lists it as uncharacterized. Lineage: Eukaryota; Viridiplantae; Streptophyta; Magnoliopsida; Zingiberales; Musaceae. The record is from RefSeq and is a predicted model, not a curated record.
AACGGCCAUGAUGGCUGAGCUAAUGAUGUGGUGGACAUUAGUGCUGCUGCGCCACCAGCAACCAAUGCCAACGACUGUGAGCAGUACGAAGGCAGGGAGAAGAGAGAGGAGGAGGCGGAUGAGGACAAAAGGAGGAAUGUCUCGGCAGCAGCAAAAAGACAAACCCAGCACAGAACCAACGAGGCCCACAUUCCUUACCCUUCCCCCGCCUCUCUCUCACGCCCCCCACCCAACAUACGAUCCAAAAAAGGGAAAAAAAAGGGAAGAAAAGGAAAAGAGGAGGCGAGAGAGAAGGGGGAAGUGCCUGCUCUUCUUCUUCUUCGUCUUCUGCUGCUGCUAUGGCGAAGCUCAGGAGGAAACCGGUCCUCCCGUCCGCCGACUCCAAUGACGAGAGUGACCCCCGCCCCGGCGCCUGUGGCUACGGAUCUGCGAGGGCGUUUUCGUCAAUGUAGCUCCCCCUUCCCCCUCAACCCCCUCACCGAUGGAAGGCAGACAGGAUGGAGCCAGGCAACGCGGAGUAGAGCGGGCGAGUACGAAGAGAGGGGGGGAGCCGUCUCUUCUUCGUAUGUACGUACGGAUCCUGCUGUCGAUUUUGGUCCAAUGGAUGCUAGCUUUUGUGAUAAAAUUUUGUUGAUGUUUAAGACAAUUGCUAAGGAUAUAUGCUGAUGGCAGAGAUUAGCGCUACUAUGUCAAUUAUGUUUUUCAUUCUCACUUUAGAGGCUGUUUUACUGGUUGGAAUGAAGUCUUUCCACUUUGUGAUUCCUUAAUGAUCAAGUAAUGAAGACUUUUUUUCUUUCAAAUGUGUAAUUUGUGAUGAACUGACAAUGUGAGAUACAUACCUAAAUCGAGUGUCUUUCCUAAA